Molecule: ribosomal RNA, 443 nt
Filed under: uncultured bacterium
Lineage: Bacteria
Description: partial 16S ribosomal RNA
Rfam family: Bacterial small subunit ribosomal RNA
Source: RNAcentral
CCUACGGGAGGCAGCAGUGGGGAAUAUUGGGCAAUGGAGGAAAGUCUGACGCAGCAACGCCGCGUGAAUGAUGAAGGUCUUCGGAUUGUAAAGUUCUUUUCUAAGGGAAGAAGAAAGUAACGGUACCUUAGUAAUAAGCAUCGGCUAACUACGUGCCAGCAGCCGCGGGAAUACGUAGGAGGCAAGCGUUAUCCGGAAUGACUGGGCGUAAAGGGUGCGUAGGUGGUUUGACAAGCUGGGAGCGAAACUCCGGGGCUCAACCUCGGAACUCCAACCAAAAAUGGCGGACUAGAGUCCAGGAGAGGGAAAUGGAAUUCCUAGUGUAGCGGUGGAAUGCGUAGAGAUUAGGAGGAACACCAGUGGCGAAGGCGAUUUGCUGGACUGUAACUGACGCUGAGGCACGAAAGCGUGGGGAGCAAACAGGAUUAGAUACCCUUGUAGUC